GGUGGGCAUGGUGGUGCAUGCCUGUAAUCCCAGCUACCUGGGAGGCUGAGUCAGGAGAAUUGCUUGAACCCAGGAGGUAGAGGUUGCAGUGAGCCGAGAUCGUGCCACUGCACUCUAGCCUGGGUGACAGAGUGAGACUCUGUCUCAA
Molecule: non-coding RNA, 148 nt
Filed under: Homo sapiens (human)
Lineage: Eukaryota; Metazoa; Chordata; Mammalia; Primates; Hominidae
Source: Rfam by way of RNAcentral